This 1964-nucleotide long non-coding RNA is filed under the name Musa acuminata (dwarf banana). RNAcentral's name for it is "long non-coding RNA (MACU_LNC002443)". Lineage: Eukaryota; Viridiplantae; Streptophyta; Magnoliopsida; Zingiberales; Musaceae. The record is from RNAcentral.
CCCACACCGUUGUUUCAACACGGUUUUGAAGAGGGGUUCCUCCGCGGGCUCGGGAUUGGCGAUUGAUCUGCUCAUUGCAGAUCGGAGUUCUCCUCGCCGGAGAUGCCUGCACAGAGUCGGAUCUCUCUGCAAGGACAUGGUAUUGUUUCGGACUCGGUCAGAUUCUAUUGGAUUGCUGGUUGUGAUAGUUUCUUGAUUCUUGAUCUCAAUUUUGAAUUAUCUUCUUUGCUUUCCCUCUUCGCUUUCGACGUUGGAUUUAAUGGAAGGAAACGAGUGACUUGAAUGCUGCGCCGUAGAUCCGAGACGGUUUCUUCAUUGUGAAAUCUCCCGCUCCAACUCCCCUUAUCUUCUCUUACGUUAGUCUCUUGGUGUUGAUGUCGGUGUUCGGUGCUGAGAUUCUCUCUGUUCGAUCAUUUGAGGUCUUUUUUCGAGAUUUUUAAUAGGAGUUUGUUUAGAUCUGAGCUUCACAUUUUCUUUCUUAAGGGCGUUUGAUAGGAUUAAUUAUUUUUUGUUCGAUCUUUUCAUGUUUCUUUUCAAGAAUUACAAAGAGUUUGUUUAGUUCUAUGCUCCUCCUCUACUUUCUUUAGGGCGUUUGAUAGAACUAAUUUUUUUUGUUUGAUCUUUUGAGGUCUCUUUUCGAGAUUUACUAAUAAUUUGUUUUAGAUCUGAGCUCCUCCUUUUCUUUCUUUAGACUGUUUGAUAGAGCUAAUUCCUUUUAUUCUAUUCCUCGAGGAGGCCUCUUUUCGAGAUAUUCCAAACGUUUGUUUAGUUCUGAGCCCCUCCUUUUGUGUCUUUAGGGUGUUUGAUAGAAUCAAUUCAUUUUGUUUGGUAUUUUGAUGCCUCUUUUCUAGAUUUUCUAAGAGUUUAUUUAGUUCUUAGCUUCUCGUUUUCUUUGUUUACGGCGUUUGAUAAAACUAAUUAUAUUGAUGCUGUCACAUUAGUUGUCGGAUUUUGAUGGCUGCAGUACGCUGCUUUAUCUUCCUUUGCAGCCUUACAUAUCUUUGUUCAGUGGGUUUUCAUUCGAAAAUCCUUUCUUAUCUCUCCAACCACCAGUGCUAAAAUUUUGAACUAUUAUUACCAAUGAAAGUGCAAACAUUGGUUGAAUAAAAAUAGAGACAUAUGAAGGAUUCAAACUCUCUAAAUCAUCAAAGCUUGAGAUCCCAAGAAAGAAUCCAAUAUAUUUAUUAGUUUUAACACCUAUGUGAAAUUUCUUGACCAUUGAGUAAGACCUUCUACUGUCAGUAGCUUUGGAAUGGAAAGUGAUAAACAUGCCAAAGGCCUUCCUUCUUGUGAUUAGCAUCUUUAAGAUGCAUGUAACUUUGUGGGCUAUAUGGUAUGGGCAUCAAACCCUCUGCAUUUUUGGCAUUAUUUGAAGCAAUCAACUUACUGUUUCCACCUUACCUUUAAGCAACAUUGUUUAGAUAAACCAGGAGCAUCUUAGGGCAUGUUAACCACAGUAAAGUAGCAGUAAGGGAUCUGAAUCAGGAACAGGUUGGGUUCAAAGAACCAGGUGGCUGGAGAUUAGACUGUGUCUUAAAUAUUGAUAAUAGUGGGGCAAUAUAAACCAUUUUUUCUCUUGAAAAUAUUGUUGUUAUGUUGAUGCUCUUUAUGGGGUCACAUGACUGCUACAGGUGGGAGGAGUGUGUAAAUACGAAAGGCAGUAUGCCAAAGACUCCCUUUCAUGAAUGACAGUUUAAUCCUCCACAUAGCUCUAUAAAAUCUAUUAUAUAUAUGAUUAGAUAUUCAAGAAUAGAUAACAAUAUUAUUGAUCUUAAAAAGAAUAAUACACAAAUCAUCUAACCAAACAUUGCACAGAUAAUGUACGAGAUAACCGACCAUCGCUCUCGAGGGAGUGUUGGCUCAGCUCUCUGUGGCUCCGGAGGUGGACGAGGGAGGCGUCGAAGAAGAAUUGCCAUGGCUUUGAGACGCCAGCGACAGCGAGAACAGCCCAGCGAAAGGCCAAG